GAAACAUGAUUUGUGGAAACAGAGACCUGCCAUUAUAUUCCAAUGUGAAUGUCAACCAAAAGCAUCUCUGAAUAUGGAUCAUGCUGGCACCAGUGAAGACAGAUUUUCAGGAGGCCAGAUUGAAGUCAAGGAGAAUAGCACCAAUCCAGACACUAUAUAAUCAGGGUCUGCGUUGCAGCAAUACAGCAUGAAGAGGAUGUGUCAGAAUUAAAGCCUGUGCAACAGAUAAUACACCCCUUACUGUCUGUACCCUGGGAGUGAGAGCAGAGGAGUGUGCCCACUGUCCUUGGGAUACCACUGGAAAAUGAAAAGAACCAAGAAGACGGAAUCAAGGCCGAUAAAGAACAAGCUCAGUGUGGUAGAACAGAACAAAAAAAAAAAUCAGGGUAAUCCUUGGGAGUGACCGAAUGAGAAGUCACCCUCAGUUCAAAAUGCAAUGCAUUUAAAAUGCAAACAGACUCCUGGAAUGCAUUAAACACAC
Long non-coding RNA from Homo sapiens (human), 481 nucleotides. RefSeq annotates it as ARHGEF28 antisense RNA 1. NCBI's taxonomy places the organism in Eukaryota, Metazoa, Chordata, Mammalia, Primates, Hominidae. The record is from RefSeq and is a predicted model, not a curated record. The transcript has 3 exons.